UAAAAGUCGUAACAAGGUCUCCGUAGGUGAACCUGCGGAGGGAUCAUUACCGAGUUCAUGCCCUUACGGGUAGACCUCCCACCCUAUGUUAUAUUACCUUUGUUGCUUUGGCGGGCCGCCCGGCUUCGGCCAGGCUACCGGCUCCAGCUGGUAAGCGCUCGCCAGAGGACCCUCAACUCUGAAUAUCAGUGUCGUCUGAGUACUAUAAAAUAGUUAAAACUUUCAACAACGGAUCUCUUGGUUCUGGCAUCGAUGAAGAACGCAGCGAAAUGCGAUAAGUAAUGUGAAUUGCAGAAUUCAGUGAAUCAUCGAAUCUUUGAACGCACAUUGCGCCCCUUGGUAUUCCGAGGGGCAUGCCUGUUCGAGCGUCAUUACAACCCUCAAGCACUGCUUGGUAUUGGGCUCCGCUGGCUCCAGCGGGCCUUAAAAUCAGUGGCGGCGCCGUUUGGGCUCUGAGCGUAGUAAAUAUCCUCGCUAUAGAGACCAGGCGGUUCUUGUCAUCAACCCCCAACUUUCUAAGUUUGACCUCGGAUCAGGUAGGGAUACCCGCUGAACUUAAGCAUAUCAAUAAGCGGAGG
This 578-nucleotide ribosomal RNA is filed under the name uncultured fungus. RNAcentral describes it as "eukaryotic LSU rRNA". The stretch from base 218 to 371 matches the Rfam family "5.8S ribosomal RNA". The record is from RNAcentral. Lineage: Eukaryota; Fungi.